UAGUGUUUUUCUUACAAAAGGACAUGUCUUUCAGAACAAAAGAUACAAAAAUACCACACGUAUAUUUGCAGAUAACAAAUGUGAUCAACCAAGCAUUCCAUGGCAACAAGCACCGCCAUCAUCUUGGUACAAUAGCAUGAAAAUUCUAGUGACAUAAAUUUAUCAACUUGAUUGUGUGGAAAUCGAUAUGAUGGCAAUUUUCACCACAUAACACAUAGAAAAUCUGCACAUAAUAUUUAACAGAGAAGCAGUGUAAUAGCUAACAAAGAAUCUACUCUUGGUUAAUGGAUUCAGUCAGAUUAAUGAACCACUUUCCCUCCAUAAACAA
Molecule: ribosomal RNA, 328 nt
Filed under: Triticum aestivum (bread wheat)
Lineage: Eukaryota; Viridiplantae; Streptophyta; Magnoliopsida; Poales; Poaceae
Description: partial small subunit ribosomal RNA
Source: RNAcentral